Molecule: ribosomal RNA, 440 nt
Filed under: Streptococcus dysgalactiae
Lineage: Bacteria; Bacillati; Bacillota; Bacilli; Lactobacillales; Streptococcaceae
Description: bacterial SSU rRNA
Rfam family: Bacterial small subunit ribosomal RNA
Source: RNAcentral
UUAAUGAGAGUUUGAUCCUGGCUCAGGACGAACGCUGGCGGCGUGCCUAAUACAUGCAAGUAGAACGCUGAGGACUGGUGCUUGCACCGGUCCAAGGAGUUGCGAACGGGAGAGUAACGCGCAGGUAACCUACCUCAUAGCGGGGGAUAACUAUUGGAAACGAUAGCUAAUACCGCAUACAAGUGUUUAACCCAUGUUAAACAUUUAAAAGGUUCAAUUGCAUCACUAUGAGAUGGACCUGCGUUGUAUUAGCUAGUUGGUGAGGUAACGGCUCACCAAGGCGACGAUACAUAGCCGACCUGAGAGGGUGAUCGGCCACACUGGGAUUGAGACACGGCCCAGACUCCUACGGGAGGCAGCAGUAGGGAAUCUUCGGCAAUGGACGGAAGUCUGACCGAGCAACGCCGCGUGAGUGAAGAAGGUUUUCGGAUCGUAAAGCU